GCUAUUUUAGAUUUUAUUCCUGUGAAAAUAUAUCCAUGGAAUACCUGUUAUUGAAUAUGCUUCCUAUUUUAUGAGAGGUUAUGCAAUCUAACUCAUUUGAUUAUUAAAUUUGAUAACCUACCAUGUUCAGCUAUCAUGUAAAUAUUGUUAUCUCUAUAUUUGUGUUUGUGUAGUUACAUGUGAAAGUAGCUUUGAAAAUGUGACACAUAUUUUUAUUAGUGUAAUUACAUUUUAAUUAAUUUUUAAUACUUCACAUGUUUUGUGUUUUUCCUUUGGAGGAUUGGAUAGCUUUAGUCAAAGCAGCUGCUGCAGCUGCAGCCAAGAACAAAACAGGGAGUAAACCUCGAACCAGCGCUAACAGCAAUAAAGAUAAGGAUAAAGAUGAGAGAAAGUGGUUUAAAGUACCUUCAAAGAAGGAAGAAACUUCAACUUGUAUAGCCACACCAGACGUAGAGAAGAAGGAAGAUCUGCCUACAUCUAGUGAAACAUUUGGACUUCAUGUAGAGAACGUUCCAAAGAUGGUCUUUCCACAGCCAGAGAGCACAUUAUCAAACAAGAGGAAAAAUAAUCAAGGCAACUCAUUUCAGGCAAAGAGAGCUCGACUUAACAAGAUUACUGGUUUGUUGGCAUCCAAAGCUGUUGGGGUGGAUGGUGCUGAAAAAAAGGAAGACUACAAUGAAACAGCUCCAAUGCUGGAGCAGGUAUGAAAUGGUAGCAUUUGAUUUUUUUCAAGGUUCCCACUGGAAUGAUCACGGAGCUCUAGUUUCUACGUAAUUGAAAUUCCCCUUUUGAUCAGAUAUGGGAAUAGGAAGCUAAUUAAUUGAUGAUAUAUUUUUAACUCUGCCUUCUCCAAGGUAUACAGAUAACUACAGACUUCAUUAGUGUUUGAUUUCAUAGACUGGCAUUAAAGCCUUUGUCUCCAAAAUUUGAAGGCCUGGAGACAGGCAUCCCAGGGUAUAAGCUUCCAGCUGGAUCACCUUUAACUAGCUUACAAAAAGACCCUUACACAAAUACUUUCCAUUUGUGAGUUAAAACAGGGUUUUUUGACAUCUAAUAAAGCUUCUUUUGUAAGAAGUUUCUUUUAUAUUGUAACAAUUGGUGUUGUUAGACUGACUAUGUGUUUUAUGAAUUGAUCAAUGAGCCAUACAUUUUUGCUAGGAUGUAUAUUUUAAUAACUACAAAAAAAGAGAGUUUAAAAAACUAUUAAGGGUCUGUCUUUAAACCACCUAAUAGAGGAAUUUAAAAGUGAAGGUUGCAGUUGCUAGAUUUUGCCUUGGCUACCUUCAGAUUCCCACAAUACUUGUACAUAAUGAACUGUGCAUGCUUUUACAUUCUCUAAGGGCUUAACUUCUUAGGCACUGUAAGACUAUAAGAACUCAGUAAUAGCCAUAACUGGAUUUCCUUGGUUCUCCUGUUUUAAAAUCUGAGCCUUAAUGUAGUUUUAAUAUAUCCUUUUUGUAUUACUUUUCUUUAUUAGUAGCCUAAUAAAGAAGACUUUAAAAUGAGUAUCUUUUGCUCUCCUCUAGACGCGUUUUAAAAACUAUUCCAAAUUUAAUUGAUAUUGUAUUGAGUUUUUCAGGGUUAUUUUAGGCCUGAUUUGAUAACAAUGCAUUGUUUUGGUGCCUCCAUUAAUGUUGUAUUAAAUCAAUGGGUCUUUUAAAUUGAUUGUCAUUGAAUCAUACCUUCUGAUUUUCUGUGAUCAUCAAACGGUUAAGUCUUUGCCGUUAUUGUCAAUAUAUCAACCAAAUUUUAAAUAACUUUUUUUACUGUGUAUUACUAUAUUCAACGUCCCAGAUAUAACAAUAUUUUGUAUUUUCACCACUGUUUAUGGUAUUCUCAGAAUGCGAUAAAUCAGGGACUUGGGUAAUAAAAUGUUUCUGGAAAAUUCAUUACAAUGUCAAUCUUUGAUUAUGCACAAUCCUGCUGAGGUGAAUGUGAUUAUGAAAAGUACUUAUUAAAUGUGGAAGUUAGUGUAGAGGGCAGUACCCAUCUUAGAGAGAAGUACAGAAAACCACGUUUUGAAAUUGAAUUUAAAAAAGAAAGAAAGGAAAAUUAUGUAACUCGGCUGUUUCUAUUUUCAUAAUUAGAAACUUUUGAGAGUCCUUGCCAGUUUUGUAACAAAGAGACCAACAAUCAUUAAUGAAAACCUUGUAAAUUAUUUUAGAUUUUCAGGAAUACCAUGCCAUUCCCUCAUUUUCUACUUGUCAUUCAGGUUGAUUUCAAUGUGAAAAUGUUUUGUGAACAAGCACUUAUUUUUAUCCUAUGUGUUAGCCUCGCUUCAUAGUUAAAAAGCCGAGUUAUAAAGCUCUUAAUUACAUCUCAAUUGGUAUCAGCAAUAGACCUAAAGGAGAGGUAUUGAUUGUUACUAACCUCUGUUUCCUAAUGAGUUAAAGUAAUGUCACUCAUGACAUAGAUUGAUAACAGGCCUGUAGUCAAAACUUACUGUGCUAAUGGACUUAUUUAUAUUUUUUAAAAAUUCAAACUCUGUGGUCUUGAACCCCAAUUCUCAGCUUAUUAAUUAUAGAUUAUUUAAUUGUAUUAGGGAUAUGUCAUGUUAUAUUUACUUUUGGAUAAAACUUGCAUUAGAUGCAUAAUAACUCAGUAAGUUUUAAAAACAAUGUUAAUUUUUCCUUGUUUAGAAGUUAAGCACCUUAUCAAGAUAUUAAGUUUUAAAAUCUUGUUUUAUAACUUUGUAACUUGAGAGUAAUGGAUGCUGUAGUGAUGUCUUUCACAUAUGUGAAGAUGAACAAUAAAAUUGUUUAUUUAC
This 2767-nucleotide small RNA is filed under the name Pongo abelii (Sumatran orangutan). RNAcentral's name for it is "retained intron". Lineage: Eukaryota; Metazoa; Chordata; Mammalia; Primates; Hominidae. The record is from RNAcentral.